Molecule: ribosomal RNA, 482 nt
Filed under: uncultured bacterium
Lineage: Bacteria
Description: bacterial SSU rRNA
Rfam family: Bacterial small subunit ribosomal RNA
Source: RNAcentral
UUGAACGCUGGCGGAAUGCUUUACACAUGCAAGUCGGGCGGCAGCGCGGGGGCAACCCUGGCGGCGAGCGGCGAACGGGUGAGUAACAUAUCGGAACGUACCCAGACGUGGGGGACAACUAGUCGAAAGACUAGCUAAUACCGCAUGCGACCUGAGGGUGAAAGGGGUGGACCGCAAGACCUCUCGCAGUUGGAGCGGCCGAUGGCGGAUUAGCUAGUUGGUGGGGUAAAGGCCUACCAAGGCGACGAUCCGUAGCUGGUCUGAGAGGACGACCAGCCACACUGGAACUGAGACACGGUCCAGACUCCCACGGGAGGCAGCAGUGGGGAAUUUUGGACAAUGGGGGCAACCCUGAUCCAGCCAUUCCGCGUGAGUGAAGAAGGCCUUCGGGUUGUAAAGCUCUUUCGGCAGGAACGAAACGGUGGAGGCUAAUACCUUUCAUCAAUGACGGUACCUGAAGAAGAAGCACCGGCUAACUACGU